Molecule: small RNA, 739 nt
Filed under: Pongo abelii (Sumatran orangutan)
Lineage: Eukaryota; Metazoa; Chordata; Mammalia; Primates; Hominidae
Description: processed transcript
Source: RNAcentral
GAGGGUCACGCAGCACAAUGCCAGCUCUGCCCCUGGACCAACUCCAGAUCACCCACAAGGACCCGAAGACAGGAAAGCUGAGGACUUCACCAGCGCUGCACCCCGAGCAGAAGGCAGACCGGUAUUUUGUGUUAUACAAACCGCCCCCUAAAGACAACAUUCCCGCCCUAGUGGAGGAGUACCUGGAACGCGCCACCUUCGUAGCCAAUGACCUCGACUGGCUCCUGGCCUUGCCUCACGAUAAAUUCUGGUGCCAGGUGAUCUUUGACGAGACUCUACAGAAGUGCCUGGACUCCUACCUGCACUAUGUCCCCCGCAAAUUCGAUGAGGGGGUGGCCUCAGCCCCUGAGGUUGUUGACAUGCAGAAGCGCCUCCAUCGAAGUGUUUUUCUCACCUUCCUCCGCAUGUCCACUCACAAGGAAUCCAAAGAUCACUUCAUUUCCCCUUCUGCGUUUGGAGAAAUCCUCUACAAUAACUUCCUCUUUGACAUUCCAAAGAUCCUGGACCUCUGUGUGCUCUUUGGAAAAGGCAACUCACCACUGCUCCAGAAGAUGAUAGGAGAAUCACUUGAACCUGGGAGGCAGAAGUUGCAGUGUUUGAGAUGGAGCAAGACUCCAUCUCAAAAAAAAAAAGAGACAAAGCCUUGCUCUGUCACUCAGGCAAGAGUGCAGUGGCGCAAUCAUAUCUCACUGCAGCUUCACAUUCCUGGACUCAAGCUAUCCCCCCAACUCAGCCUCCC